RNAcentral lists this ribosomal RNA (469 nucleotides) under uncultured organism. RNAcentral's name for it is "partial 16S ribosomal RNA". It matches the Rfam family "Bacterial small subunit ribosomal RNA", at positions 335 to 796 of the family's 1533-position model. The record is from RNAcentral.
ACUCCUGCGGGAGGCAGCAGUGGGGAAUUUUGGACAAUGGGGGCAACCCUGAUCCAGCAAUGCCGCGUGAGUGAAGAAGGCCUUCGGGUUGUAAAGCUCUUUUGUCAGGGAAGAAACGGUGGUGGCGAAUAACUACUACUAAUGACGGUACCUGAAGAAUAAGCACCGGCUAACUACGUGCCAGCAGCCGCGGUAAUACGUAGGGUGCAAGCGUUAAUCGGAAUUACUGGGCGUAAAGCGUGCGCAGGCGGUUGUGUAAGUCAGAUGUGAAAUCCCCGGGCUCAACCUGGGAAUUGCAUUUGAGACUGCACGGCUAGAGUGUGUCAGAGGGGGGUAGAAUUCCACGUGUAGCAGUGAAAUGCGUAGAUAUGUGGAGGAAUACCGAUGGCGAAGGCAGCCCCCUGGGAUAACACUGACGCUCAUGCACGAAAGCGUGGGGAGCAAACAGGAUUAGAAACCCGUGUAGUCC